GAUGAACGCUGGCGGCGUGCCUAAUACAUGCAAGUCGAGCGAACAGACGAGGAGCUUGCUCCUCUGACGUUAGCGGCGGACGGGUGAGUAACACGUGGAUAACCUACCUAUAAGACUGGGAUAACUUCGGGAAACCGGAGCUAAUACCGGAUAACAUGUUGAACCGCAUGGUUCAACAGUGAAAGACGGUCUUGCUGUCACUUAUAGAUGGAUCCGCGCCGCAUUAGCUAGUUGGUAAGGUAACGGCUUACCAAGGCAACGAUGCGUAGCCGACCUGAGAGGGUGAUCGGCCACACUGGAACUGAGACACGGUCCAGACUCCUACGGGAGGCAGCAGUAGGGAAUCUUCCGCAAUGGGCGAAAGCCUGACGGAGCAACGCCGCGUGAGUGAAGAAGGUCUUCGGAUCGUAAAACUCUGUUAUUAGGGAAGAACAAAUGUGUAAGUAACUAUGCACGUCUUGACGGGACCUAAUCAGAAAGCCACGGCUAACUACGU
Molecule: ribosomal RNA, 496 nt
Filed under: uncultured bacterium
Lineage: Bacteria
Description: partial 16S ribosomal RNA
Rfam family: Bacterial small subunit ribosomal RNA
Source: RNAcentral